RNAcentral lists this ribosomal RNA (253 nucleotides) under uncultured bacterium. RNAcentral describes it as "partial 16S ribosomal RNA". It matches the Rfam family "Bacterial small subunit ribosomal RNA", at positions 524 to 776 of the family's 1533-position model. The record is from RNAcentral.
UACAGAGGGGGCAAGCGUUAUUCGGAAUUAUUGGGCGUAAAGGGCGCGUAGGCGGCAUUGCAAGUAGAAGGUGAAAUCCCUCGGCUUAACCGAGGAACUGCCCUCCAAACUGCUUGGCUUGAGUCCGGGAGAGGUGAGUGGAAUUCCCAGUGUAGCGGUGAAAUGCGUAGAUAUUGGGAGGAACACCAGUGGCGAAGGCGGCUCACUGGACCGGAACUGACGCUGAGGUGCGAAAGCGUGGGGAGCAAACAGG